CGUACCUGCUACAAGAAAGAAAGGGAAGAGAGAGAAAGAAAGAGAAAAGAAAGAGGGAGGGAAGGAAAGAAGGAAGAUAUUUUUAUGUACAUCUGAGCUGGUAGACUAAUAUUUGUACUUGCUACAAAAAAGAAAGAAAGGAAUGGAGUGAGAAAGGGAGAGAAAGAGGGAGAAAGAAAAGAAAGAGAAAGAAGGAAGGAAGGGAGGAAAGAAGGAAGGAAGGAAAGAGAGAGAGGAGAGAAAGAAAAACAUUUUAUGCACAUCUGAGCUGGUAGACUAAUACUAGUACUUGCUACCCAAAGAGUACACAUGCUGUGACUCCAUAUACAUUAAAUGUCCAGAAAAGGAAAAUAGAAAAAGACAAAUCAGACCAGUGGUUGCCUGAAAUUGGGGAUGGCUUUGACUACAAAGAACUCAAGGGGAUUUUUGGGGCUGAUGGAAAUAUACUAAAUCUGCAUCGUAAUGAUGGUUUACAACUUUUUAAGUGUAAUCGAAGGCCAUGAAUCACAUACGAAUGGGGUGAAUUUUAUUGCAUGUGAAUUCUACCUCACUAGAGCUGCACAAACAACACCAAAAAGAAUACGACCUAAUAAUUAUGCCCAAUAAAGCAGGGUCCCCAACCCCCGGGUGGUGAACCAGUACCGGUCUGUGGCCUGUUAGGAACUGGGCCACACAGCAGGAGGUGAGUGGUGGUGGGUGAGCAUUGCGGUCUGAGCUCCGCCUCCUGUCAGAUCAGCGGCUGGGUUAGAUUCUCACAGGAGCAUGCACCCUAUUGUGAACUGUGCAUGCAAGAGAUCUAGGCUGUGCACUCCUUAUGAGAAUCUAAUGCCUGAUGAUCUGAGGUGAAACUAUUUCAUCCCAAACCGCCCCCACAACCACCCUCCAUGGAAAAAUUGUCUUCCAUGAAACCAGUUCCUGGUGUCAAAAAGGUUGGGGACUGCUGCAAUAAACGAUGUGCCCUGCUCCUGUGAGGCCACUGGUGUGGUGGCUGCAUGCAUCAUCUGCCCUGUGUUGACCUGGGUCUGGGCUUUGUCUCAGCUUUAGUCUGAUUCGGUUCAUCACUGGUUCCAAAUAUUCUGAGGAUGAGUUCCUUGGAAAGUUAAACAGAGGGUUACCAUAUGACCCAGCAAUUCCGCUUCUAGGUAUACUCCCCAAAGAACUGAAAAUGGAGACUCAAACAGGUACACGUCUAUGCCUCUAAUAGGUUGCUUUCCUUUCCCCGAAAUCCAGCAUGGAAGCAACUCCCUGUUUAAGAUGCGAGGUAUAUGGUUGAAGCCUCCAUCAGAAGGAGGCUCUGGCAUUAGGGUCCAACCUGCAGCCAAGUACCCAGAGUCCCUGGGACAAUGGCUCUGGUUUGAGACAAGCCAGUUCAGGAUGUGUGUGUUGUGCUCUGCUCCUCCUUCCUUUCCUUUGUCCCAUGGUUUUUGUUUGUUUGCUUUUUGAGACAGCAUCUUGCUCUGUCACCCAGGCUAGAGUGCAGUGGCACAGUCGUAGCUCACUGCAGCCUCGAACUCCUGGGCACAAGCUUGCCCAGGCUAGUCUUGAACUCCUGGCCUCAAGUGAUUCUUCUACCUUGGCCUCCCAAAGUGCUGGAAUUACAGGCAUAAGUCUCUGUGCCCGGCCUUCCCCAUGUUUUAAAGUCUUGAAACAGUAAACUCAUUGGGAAAGAGCCAGGUAUUUACCCCUUAGGUUAGGGUUGGUCCUCUGUAAAUAGUAGAUAAAAAUACCAUGGUCGGCCGGGCACGGUGGCUCAAGCCUGUAAUCCCAGCACUUUGGGAGGCCGAGGCGGGUGGAUCACAAGGUCAACAGAUCGAGACCAUCCUGGUCAACAUGGUAAAACCCCGUCUCUACUAAAAAUACAAAAAAUUAGCUGGGCAUGGUGGCACGUGCCUGUAAUCCCAGCUACUCAGGAGGCUGAGGCAGGAGAAUUACCUGAACCCAGGGGGCGGAGGUUGCGGUGAGCCGAGAUCACGCCAUUGUUCUCCAGCCUGGGUAACAACAGCGAAACUCCGUCUCAAAAAAAAAAAAAAAAAAAAGAAGACCACCCCCUGGGGUUUGUAGCAGAGGAGGAGUGGGCGCCAUGGCGGUUCUGCUGGAGACCACUUUGGGCGACGUCGUCAUCGACUUGUACACUGAGGAGCAGCGGCGUGCCUACUUGAAUUUCUUGAAAUUGUGCACAAUAAAAUAUUACAAUUAUUGCCUUAUUCACAAUGUACAGAGGGUUUUUAUCAUACAAACUGGUGAUCCUACAGGGACUGGCCGUGGAGGAGAGUCUAUUUUUGGCCAACUGUAUGGUGAUCAAACAAGCUUUUUUGAGGCAGAGAAAGUCCCAAGAAUAAAGCACAAGAAGAAAGGCACAGUGUCCAUGGUGAACAAUGGCAGUGAUCAACAUGGAUCUCAGUUUCUUAUCACUACAGGAGAAAAUCUAGAUUACCUUGAUGGUGUCCAUACAGUGUUUGGUGAGGUGACAGAAGGAAUGGACAUAAUUUCUUAAUAAUUAAGAAAAUUAAUGAGACCUUUGUUGACAAAGACUUUGUACCAUAUUAGGAUAUCAGGAUAAAUCACACGGUGAUUUUAGAUGAUCCAUUUGAUGACCCUCCUGAUUUAUUAAUCCCUGAUCGAUCACCAGAACCUACAAGGGAACAAUUAGAUAGUGGUCGAAUAGGAGCAGAUGAAGAAAUUGAUGAUUUCAAAGGAUGAUCAGCUGAGGAAGUUCGAAGAAAUAAAGGCAGAAAAAGAGGCUAAAACUCAGGCUAUACUUUUAGAGAUGGUGGGAGACCUACCUGAUGCAGAUAUUAAACCUCCAGAAAAUGUGUUGUUUGUGUGUAAAUUGAACCCAGUGACCACAGAUGAGGAUCUGGAAAUAAUAUUCUCUAGAUUUGGGCCAAUAAGAAGUUGUGAAGUUAUCCGGGACUGGAAGACAGGAGAGUCCCUCUGUUACGCUUUUAUUGAAUUUGAAAAGGAAGAAGAUUGUGAGAAAGCAUUCUUCAAAAUGGACAAUGUACUUAUAGAUGACAGAAGAAUACAUGUGGAUUUUAGCCAGUCUGUUGCAAAGGUUAAAUUGAAAGGAAAAGGUGAGAAAUACACCAAGAGUGAUUUCAAGGAAUAUGAAAAAGAACAAAAUAAUCCAUCUAAUUUGGUUCUGAAAGAUAAAGUAAAGCCCAAACAGGAUGCAAAAUACGAUCUUAUGCUAGAUGAGCAGGCAGAAGACUCAAAAUCAAGUCACGCACACACAAGUAAAAAACACGAGAAGAAAACCCGUCACUGCUCUGAAGAAAAAGAAGAUGAGGACUACAUGCCAAUCAAAAAUCCUAAUCAGGAUAUCUAUAGAGAAAUGGGGUUUGGUCACUAUGAAGAAGAAGAAAGCUGUUGGGAGAAACAAAAGAGUGAAAAGAGAGACCGAACUCAGAACCGAAGUCGUAGCUGAUCUCAAGAGAGGGAUGGCCAUCAUAGUAAUAGUCACAAAUCCAAAUCCAAACAGAUCUUUACGAAAGAGAAAGGGGUAAAAAGAGAGACUGAAGCAGAAGUCCAAAGAAAUCCAAAGAUAAAGAAAAAUCUAAGUACAGAUGAAAGAUGAAGAGACAGAAUUGAGUGGCUAACAUAUUUUCUCUUGUCUAACUUAGCGUGUCAGGAAAGCAGAUGCUUAGAUUUUGUGUCAAAGCUUGUUAUUUUUUUUCAUACUAGGAUUGUGGCCCUUUAGAUUAAUACUGAUUAUAUACGGCAUUAAAAAAUAAAGAACUGAACAUUUUCUUUGUAUACGUUUUUACAGUAAUUUUAUUGUUAAACAUAAAUGGUAGUCUUCAUUUUUGAAAUCUUUUACAUUUUCAUUUUUUUAAAUGAAAUAUUUCAUACUACAAAAAUACAUAAGCAUGUAUAUAUAAAGUAAAGGGAUAAUAGAUGUAAAUAUCUGUGUACUCAUCAGCCAGCUUAAAAUACAGAAUAUUGCCUCCAUUUUAGAAGUCCCUUAAGUGCCCUCUCCCUCUCAAGUAAUUAUUUGGAAUUUUGUGUUUGUCAUCUGCCUAUUAUAGUUUUACAACAUAUGUAUGUAUCUGUAAAUGAAAUGUUAAUUUUGUAUGUUUCUGAAUUUUAUAUAAAUGGCAAAAUGUUUAAAAAAAAAACCCAUGGUCAUAACACUGCUUAGUAAUUACUUCCUAUGCCUUUCCCAUUAGAAACUGUCUAAUCCCUGCCAUCUUUUGUACCAAUUCAAAACAGAGCAUAGAUGAAAUGUUAAGUCUUUGCUUCCUUGUUUUGCUAUAAAACUGUUAUGAGUUCCUGCAGCAAAAUCUCCUGUUGAAGUAUUCAUUAGCCAGAGCUGGUGAUUUGGGAAAAUAAUCACUGUAAUGCACCACAGUUCCUUGUCAUGGUCUGAAAAAUAUUAUCAUCUUUGCAUGCCUGAGGAGUGAAAAAUGGCCUGGCUGUCUAAUUUUAGACAUAGUUUUAACUUCUUUGGAUUAAAUAAUUGAUCAGUAGUAG
Callithrix jacchus (white-tufted-ear marmoset) is the source of this 4473-nucleotide non-coding RNA. NCBI's taxonomy places the organism in Eukaryota, Metazoa, Chordata, Mammalia, Primates, Cebidae. The record is from RefSeq and is a predicted model, not a curated record.